AUUGAACGCUGGCGGCAGGCCUAACACAUGCAAGUCGUACGAGUGGCGGACGGGUGAGUAAUGUCGGGGAAACUGCCUGAUGGAGGGGGAAAACUACUGGAAACGGUAGCUAAUACCGCAUACUAUCAGAUGUGCACAGAUGGGAUUAGCGUGUAGGUGGGGUAACGGCUCACCAAGGCGACGAUCCAUAGCUGGUCUGAGAGGAUGACCAGCCACCCUGGGACUGAGACGCGGUCCAGACUCCUACGGGAGGCAGCAGUGGGGAAUAUGGCGCAAUGGGCGCAAGCCUGAUGCAGCCAGGCCGCGUGUAUGAAGAAGGCCUUCGGGUUGUAAAGUACUUUCAGCCGGGAGGCGUUACCCGCAGAAGAAGCACCGGCUAACUCCGUGCCAGCAGCCGCGGUAAUUC
RNAcentral lists this ribosomal RNA (406 nucleotides) under uncultured bacterium. RNAcentral describes it as "partial 16S ribosomal RNA". It matches the Rfam family "Bacterial small subunit ribosomal RNA", at positions 30 to 526 of the family's 1533-position model. The record is from RNAcentral.